This 347-nucleotide ribosomal RNA is filed under the name uncultured bacterium. RNAcentral describes it as "partial 16S ribosomal RNA". It matches the Rfam family "Bacterial small subunit ribosomal RNA", at positions 338 to 683 of the family's 1533-position model. The record is from RNAcentral.
CCUACGGGUGGCAGCAGUGAGGAAUAUUGGUCAAUGGGCGCGAGCCUGAACCAGCCAAGUCGCGUGAGGGAAGACGGUCCUAUGGAUUGUAAACCUCUUUUGUCGGGGAGCAAAAGACGCCACGCGUGGCGUUCCGAGAGUACCCGAAGAAAAAGCAUCGGCUAACUCCGUGCCAGCAGCCGCGGUAAUACGGAGGAUGCGAGCGUUAUCCGGAUUUAUUGGGUUUAAAGGGUGCGCAGGCGGAAGAUCAAGUCAGCGGUAAAAUUGAGAGGCUCAACCUCUUCGAGCCGUUGAAACUGGUUGUCUGGCGUGCGUGAGAAGUAGGCGGAAGGCGGGGUGUAGCGGGG